Molecule: ribosomal RNA, 865 nt
Filed under: Allagelena gracilens
Lineage: Eukaryota; Metazoa; Arthropoda; Arachnida; Araneae; Agelenidae
Description: SSU rRNA
Rfam family: Eukaryotic small subunit ribosomal RNA
Source: RNAcentral
UGCAUGUCUAAGUACAUGCCGUAUUAAGGCGAAACCGCGAAUGGCUCAUUAAAUCAGUCAUGGUUCCUUGGAUCGUACCUUACUACUUGGAUAACUGUGGCAAUUCUAGAGCUAAUACAUGCAGCAGAGCUCCGACCUUCGGGGACGAGCGCUUUUAUUAGACCAAAACCAAUCGGACCUCGUGUCCGUCUCUUGUGGUGACUCUGUAUAACUUUGGGCUGAUCGCACGGGCCUGUCCCGGCGACGUAUCUUUCAAAUGUCUGCCUUAUCAACUUUCGAUGGUAGGUUAUGCGCCUACCAUGGUCGUAACGGGUAACGGGGAAUCAGGGUUCGAUUCCGGAGAGGGAGCCUGAGAAACGGCUACCACAUCCAAGGAAGGCAGCAGGCGCGCAAAUUACCCACUCCCAGAACGGGGAGGUAGUGACGAAAAAUAACAAUACGGGACUCUUUUGAGACCCCGUAAUUGGAAUGAGUACACUCUAAAUCCUUUAACGAGGAUCCAUUGGAGGGUAAGUCUGGUGCCAGCAACCGCGGUAAUUCCAGCUCCAAUAGCGUAUAUUAAAGUUGUUGCGGUUAAAAAGCUCGUAGUUGGAUCUCAGUUCCAGACGGGUGGUCCUCCUACCGGUGGUUACUGCCUGUUCUGAACAGUCAGCCGGUUUCUCUUGAUGAUCUUCACCGGUUGUCUUGGGUGACUGGCAAGUUUACUUUGAAAAAAUUAGAGUGCUCAAAGCAGGCGUGACGCCUGAAUAAUGGUGCAUGGAAUAAUGAAAUAGGACCUCGGUUCUAUUUUGUUGGUUUUCGGAACACGAGGUAAUGAUUAAGAGGGACAGACGGGGGCAUUCGUAUUGCGACGCUAGAGGUGAAA